AUUGAACGCUGGCGGCAUGCCUUACACAUGCAAGUCGAACGGCAGCACGGGUGCUUGCACCUGGUGGCGAGUGGCGAACGGGUGAGUAAUACAUCGGAACAUGUCCUGUAGUGGGGGAUAGCCAGGCGAAAGCCGGAUUAAUACCGCAUACGAUCUACGGAUGACAGCGGGGGACCUUCGGGCCUCGCGCUAUAGGGUUGGCCGAUGGCUGAUUAGCUAGUUGGUGGGGUAAAGGCCUACCAAGGCGACGAUCAGUAGCUGGUCUGAGAGGACGACCAGCCACACUGGGACUGAGACACGGCCCAGACUCCUACGGGAGGCAGCAGUGGGGAAUUUUGGACAAUGGGCGAAAGCCUGAUCCAGCAAUGCCGCGUGUGUGAAGAAGGCCUUCGGGUUGUAAAGCACUUUUGUCCGGAAAGAAAUCCUUGGCCCUAAUACGGUCGGGGGAUGACGGUACCGGAAGAAUAAGCACCGGCUAACUACGUG
RNAcentral lists this ribosomal RNA (486 nucleotides) under uncultured bacterium. RNAcentral describes it as "partial 16S ribosomal RNA". It matches the Rfam family "Bacterial small subunit ribosomal RNA", at positions 30 to 507 of the family's 1533-position model. The record is from RNAcentral.